This 253-nucleotide ribosomal RNA is filed under the name uncultured bacterium. RNAcentral describes it as "partial 16S ribosomal RNA". It matches the Rfam family "Bacterial small subunit ribosomal RNA", at positions 524 to 776 of the family's 1533-position model. The record is from RNAcentral.
UACGAAGGGGGCUAGCGUUGCUCGGAAUUACUGGGCGUAAAGCGCACGUAGGCGGCUCUUUAAGUCGGAGGUGAAAUCCUGGAGCUCAACUCCAGAACUGCCUUCGAUACUGAAGAGCUCGAGUCCGGGAGAGGUGAGUAGAACUGCGAGUGUAGAGGUGAAAUUCGUAGAUAUUCGCAAGAACACCAGUGGCGAAGGCGGCUCACUGGCCCGGUACUGACGCUGAGGUGCGAAAGCGUGGGGAGCAAACAGG